CUCUGCUAUUCAUUUCCAAUUUCCAGAGCUCUGUAUGAGUUGGCAAAUAUCCAUCAUCCACAAAGGGCCCGGGCUGAUUUUAUCCCCAACAAACUGGUGUUCGAAGUGGGGUGCAAUUGGGAACUCAGAUUACAGGUAAGAGGAUCUUUAGCCCCUUGGGGACACAACUUCUGGAAUUUAAGGGAAUCAUGACGGAGUAUUUCUCUCGUGUGUCCUUAAGGGGUUGGGGACCUUUGCCUGCUUCUGCCAUCCUCCCACACAUUGCAUUUCUUGUUUUAAUGGGGUUUUUCACUAUUUCAAUUUUUAAAGGGGAUUUACACAGGAUAAUGUCUUUGGUAGACAUGGUAUUUUAAGUCUUAGGUAGACUUCUAUUACUCCACGGGUUGGAGUAACACCUUUGGUAGGCAGUAGUAGUUAUGUGCACAUUUCCUCUUUGGUAAGAGGUUCACCUUUGGCCAGGUGUUAAAAAGAAUUUCAAGCCUUUGGUAGGCUGUGAUGUCCUGUGAUGUGCAUUUACAUAUGGGAGACGUCCCUAGAUCCCUCUUUGCUAGAGGUUGCCUUUGGUAGGUUGUAAAACAGAUUUCCAGUCUUUGGUGGACUGUGGUAUUUAUUUAAUGUAGAUGUAAAUUUUGCAGAUUAAAA
RNAcentral lists this long non-coding RNA (642 nucleotides) under Pelobates cultripes (western spadefoot toad). Lineage: Eukaryota; Metazoa; Chordata; Amphibia; Anura; Pelobatidae. The record is from RNAcentral.